RNAcentral lists this long non-coding RNA (2629 nucleotides) under Homo sapiens (human). RNAcentral describes it as "HSALNT0050299". Lineage: Eukaryota; Metazoa; Chordata; Mammalia; Primates; Hominidae. The record is from RNAcentral.
GGAGCACAGGAAAUUUAAACUGUCGAAGCAAGAAAUAAAAAUAAUACCUACAACCCUUAAAUAUAGCACUUUACAUUUUGUGAAGUGUUUCAGAGCCAUUUUCUCCUUGACACUACCUCCUCACUCCAUUUUUCCUUGGCCGCCGCUUAUCAUCUCUGGGUGCUGAAGUCUCUUGAUGUGAACAGAAUGGAGAACACUUUGGUCUUUACCUCUCACCUCUACACCUUUUGUUUCCCAGGAACAGAGGCCACAAAAGAGCUGUAAGAGCAGAGUGAAGCAGGCUCAUCCUGGUAAUUUGUAGUUUUGCAGAUAAAGAACACUUUCCUCAGCACAUGUGCAGUGGAUCCUGACACCAGAGCUUCAAAGAGGUCCCAAUUGGAGAGAAAAUGAGGAAAAGGAGGAACAGAUGGGACUAAAAGCAGAAGGCACCUGAUGAAAGAGAAAAAGCAAGGCUGGGGGAAGGGUGUUUAGAGAAGGACUGGGAGAACAAAAGCAAAGAAUCUGAAAUGAGAGCAUGCUUUCUUCCGUUCCCAUGAACUUCAGAAUGAGCCACAUCUUUACUCAAAGCCUCCUCUGCUAUUUAUAUGUGUGACCUUAGAUUAUAUGAACCUCUGGACUCUGGAGCAUUUUGAGGUCCUGUGGUAAAGGCCUUGGUCAUGUCUGCAUAAAAGUCAGCAUGGGAUAUCCUCAAAGCUGCAAGGCUCCACCUAUGUAGACACUACUGGGAGCAGGAUGCCUGGGAGACGAAGCAGGGCAGCAUAAAUUUUUGUAGCAGAGGCAGCAUCUACAGGGGGUGUCUUUGUGUCUCGGAGGAUUGUUGCAAAAGAGUUCAUAAAUGUGCAGUUCCCUAUCUUCCCCAACCCUUCAAAGAUGGGAAAGAACUUCAUUUAGAUGUUCCAUCCUACCCCGUUUUUUUACUGAUCUGGGCAAUACCAGGUCCCCUUAACACACACACACACACACACACACACACACACACACACACACACACACACACACUUCCUGCAAUAUAUUGUGCUGAAAAUCAGCCUUGCUGUCACAGUUCCAUUAUCAGGAGAGUUUGGAGUAAUGCCCAGCCUAGUCUAUAAUGAAAAAUUGUGGCUCAGUGUCCUGAUUAAAACCAUAUCAUCCUUUCUUGUCUAUAGCUCCGUUCUUAAUUUCAGUCUAGCCCAAGACGCUAUCUAAGGUGGCUUGGAAUGCAGGCCCACAUGUUCCUUUCUGCUGUGAGUACAAGCAGAACAGGCAGAGCUGGGAUUCAAAUUGACCUCUCUCUGAUUCUGAACCCCAUGGUCUUUCCCAUGAAGAGAUCUAGUUUUUUUUGUUUUUGUUUUUGUUUUUUUUUUUCAUCUGUUAGGGGCUGUUAUGGGUUGACUUGUGUUUCCUCCAUCCUCCCUGAAAAAGAUAUUUUGUAGCCCUAACCUCUAGUACCCCAGAAUGUGACCAUAUUUGGAGAUACGGUCUUUAUAGAAAUAUUAAAGUUAAAAUAGGUUCAUUUGGUGUGAGCUCUAAUCCCAUAUGACUGGUGUCCUUAUGCACAGAGGAAAUAUGAAUACCAAGAAAGAGACACAGAGGAAUCAGAGAAAAGACAGACACCUAUGAGCCAAGGAGAAAGGCCUAGAACAGAUCCUUCCCUCACAAUCCUCAGAAGGAACCAAGCCUACCAACAACACCUUGAUCUCAGACAUUCAGCCUCCAAAACUGUGAUGCAAUCAGUGGUGCUUUGUUAUGCCAGUCCCAACAAACUAAUACAGGAGAAAUUCAGAGUUUUCAAACUGGAAGUGCAUGUCCGUGAACAUUAGAUUGUUGCAGCCAUCCAACUGUACAGUGCACAGCUCCAGAGGGCAGUAUUCCCAGGGUCACAUCAUGGUGCAUUCCUGCACUAGACGUCAUACACCACACAGCCUCACACAGUGGUCCCUGACCAAGCUGACACAGAUAGAGUCUCCUCCUGUGAGACAUCUGUUACAUAUGUUACAUGUGUUAAACCUGUUAUAAAUUCAGUUAAAUUGCCCUCAAAGUAAAGAUUAUAAAAGAAGGAUGUUAAGGGAGAUACUGUUGGAUUUGUUGCAGUGCAUUUAAAAAUAGAUAACUUCAAGGCCAUGGAAUAUGGGACUGUUUUUUAGCACAAAAUUAUAAAAGUGGAGAACUAAUAUAUGUUAACCUAUCGGGAAACUCAUCUGAGUAUGAGCUGGGCAGACGUUUUGAUUGUCUAUGGAGGGCUGGACUUCCCACUUUUCUCCCACUCAUCUGACAGGAUCAGUUUUUCAGGUGAUGAAUUAGGAACAAGGUGAGAAGGAGGUGGCUCUAGACACCCUGGAUAUAGCACUGUUUUCUGUUAAUGAGAUUCAGAUGGCCUGAUAAUUAAAGCUGUCUCCAAAACAGAAUGGCUUUCCUCAUCUAGCAUCCUUGGCACAGGGUAAUUCAACUGAAGACUGGGUUCAUUUAUCCAUUCAACUCCCUAAUAAAUACUUAUGGAGUAUUAGGCAAUGUCCUGGAUAUUGGAGGAAUACAAAGAAUAGUGCCAGUCAUAUCAAUCUUGCUCUCAAAGAGUUUAGGUUCUAAGGAGAAAUAAGGUAGAUGCGUAGAAAAUUCCAAUAUAGAAUAUAAAACUAUGUGUCACAGAAAAAGU